AGCACCCGUCCCUGCUCGCCGGCAACGAGCUCCGUCCCUGCUCGCCGGCGACGUGCUCCGUCCCUACUCGCCGGCGACGAGUACUGCCCCUGCGACGUGGAUCCAGCUCCGUAGAUGGCAUCUCCCAAUUUGAGCGGUGCUAGUGCAACUGGUAGCAUAGGAUCUGCAGCCACAGAGGCAACAAACAUCAAGGCUCCACUUUGGGAUCAUGUCACCAUUUUAGAGAAGCCAAGAUCUGGUGGAGGAAAUACUAUGUGGAAAUGCAAGUACUGUCCAAUGCAAAAACUGAGUAGUUACAGUAGAGUUGAAGCUCAUUUGCUGCAGAAGGGGGGAAAGGGAAUAGGUAAAUGUCCUAAUGUUACAUAUGAGAUGCUUAGUGCAAUGAGGAAGGAAGUUGAAAGGUGCAAGAAUCUGGUGGAAAGAUCCAAGUCAAGAACUGUUUCUCUGCCUACUGCUCCUUCCUCGAGCAAUACUGAUGACACCAACAAGAGGACCAAGAGGGGGGCCCUUUCUCAAUUGGAAAAGGCUUGGAGACUGGAAGACCAUAACCACUUGGAUGCUUUAAUCAGUAGAGCAAUUUAUUCUGGAGGGAUAUCUUUCAAUUUUUUGAGAAAUCCAUACCUUCGAGAAGCCUUUUCCUUUGCUUGCAGCCGCAACAUGCAAGGUUAUGUGAUUCCUGGUUACAACAGAGUUAGAGAGGGACUGCUGAAGCAAGAAAGGAGGCACAUAGAGCAAUUGUUGGAGAGCACAAAGAGCACAUGGUCAGAGAAGGGAGUAACAAUCUGCACUGAUGGUUGGUCAGAUCCUCAAAGGCGACCAAUAAUCAAUUUUGUUGUUGUUUGUGACAAGUCACCUAUGUUCUUGAGGGCUGAUAAUUGUCAAGCUGAGAUCAAAAACAUGGACUACAUUGCUGACAAGUUGAGAGGUAUAAUUGAUGAAGUAGGUCGAGAUAAUGUAGUGCAAAUCAUUACAGACAAUGCUUCAAAUUGCAAAGGUGCUGGUCUCAUUAUUGAGGCUGAGUAUGAAAACAUAUUUUGGACACCAUGUGUUGUGCAUACCCUCAACCUUGCUAUGAAAAGUAUAUGUGAACCAAAAAUAGGAAACAAUCCUUCUGAUGAUGAGAUAUUUAUUUGGCAGCAACUUGAAUUUAUAUAUGAUGUCAAAACUGAGGCUGCUUUGAUAAAGAAUUUUAUCAUGAAUCAUGGCAUGCGGCUUUCAAUGUUCAAUGAGUUCAGCCGUUUGAAGUUACUUUCUAUUGCUGAAACAAGAUUUGCCUCUGUUGUAUGUUUGUUGAGGUAAAAUCAGCCCUCCAACAAAUGGUGAUUAGUGACAAAUGGAGCAUCUACAAAGAAGCCAGAGAUGAUUCUCCAACUCCAACGGCCCAAAUUGUCAAGGACUUGAUACUUAAUGAUGUAUGGUGGGACAAGGUGGACUACAUUCUUAGGAUUACCACUCCUAUAUAUGAAAUGAUUCGUAUGACAGACACCGACACACCAUGCCUUCACUUAGUUUAUGAGAUGUGGGAUUCAAUGAUAGAGAAAGUGAAGAAAGUCAUAUAUCGAUAUGAGGGCAAGCAAGAAGAUGAGGAAUCAGACUUGUACUCAGUUAUUUAUGACAUACUGAUUGCUAGGUGGACAAAAGGAAAUAAUCCACUACACUGUUUAGCUUAUUCACUUAAUCCAAGAUACUAUAGCAAAAAGUGGCUUGAAGAAGGUGUUGGCCGUGAACCACCCCACAAGGAUAAAGAGGUAUCGAAAAUGAGGAUGGUUUGCUUUAAGAAGUUAUUUCCCAUGCUAGAAGAGUUGGCUAAAGUAAAAGAAGGGUACUCAAGAUUCUCUAGUUGUUCAGAAGAAUUUAAUGAUCCUGACUCAAUCCAUGAUAGAUGGGUUGUUUCCCCUAUGACUUGGUGGACAAAUCAUGGACAAUCUGCUCCCUUAUUGAUGAGUUUGGCCAUGAAAUUGCUUAACCAACCAGCCUCAUCUUCUUGCUGUGAAAGAAACUGGAGCACCUAUAGCUUUGUCCAUAGUGUCAAGAGAAAUGCCUUAACUCCAGAGCGUGCAGAAGAUUUGGUCUUUGUGCACUCAAAUCUGAGGCAUCUGUCAAGAAGAACUGAUGCAUACAAGUCAGGAGAGACAAGAAUGUGGGGUGUAGGAGGGGAUUCUUUUGAUUCACUUGGUGGUAUUGGCAUUCUUGAAGUGGCUGACCUGUCCCUUGAUGAACCUGAAUUGUAAUAUGUGACUUUUGGUUUGGAUGCUGAUGCUCAGCAGGUUGAUGACAAUGAAACAAAUGAGGAACAGGAACUUGAUGGGAUCCUGAAUUGCAACUUGCAAGCCUGAAUGCCUUAUUGCCUUUUGCUUUUAUUGAUUUUCUAGAAUAAAUUUGAGACUGUUGUGUUUGAGAAUUUGAGGCCUGCUGCUAUGCUGUAAUAGAACUUAAGUAGUUAAGUAGAUUGGCACUUUUAUUGUUGACAAUUUGAGACCUGCUGGCUGCUGCUAUGUUACUCUGCACUUGUGAUUUGUGAAUUUGAUGUUCUGUUCGGUUGUU
RNA transcript from Panicum virgatum (switchgrass), 2544 nucleotides. RefSeq lists it as uncharacterized. The record is from RefSeq and is a predicted model, not a curated record. Lineage: Eukaryota; Viridiplantae; Streptophyta; Magnoliopsida; Poales; Poaceae. The transcript is spliced from 3 exons.